Molecule: ribosomal RNA, 1542 nt
Filed under: Escherichia coli
Lineage: Bacteria; Pseudomonadati; Pseudomonadota; Gammaproteobacteria; Enterobacterales; Enterobacteriaceae
Description: bacterial SSU rRNA
Rfam family: Bacterial small subunit ribosomal RNA
Source: RNAcentral
AAAUUGAAGAGUUUGAUCAUGGCUCAGAUUGAACGCUGGCGGCAGGCCUAACACAUGCAAGUCGAACGGUAACAGGAAGAAGCUUGCUGCUUUGCUGACGAGUGGCGGACGGGUGAGUAAUGUCUGGGAAACUGCCUGAUGGAGGGGGAUAACUACUGGAAACGGUAGCUAAUACCGCAUAACGUCGCAAGACCAAAGAGGGGGACCUUCGGGCCUCUUGCCAUCGGAUGUGCCCAGAUGGGAUUAGCUUGUUGGUGGGGUAACGGCUCACCAAGGCGACGAUCCCUAGCUGGUCUGAGAGGAUGACCAGCCACACUGGAACUGAGACACGGUCCAGACUCCUACGGGAGGCAGCAGUGGGGAAUAUUGCACAAUGGGCGCAAGCCUGAUGCAGCCAUGCCGCGUGUAUGAAGAAGGCCUUCGGGUUGUAAAGUACUUUCAGCGGGGAGGAAGGGAGUAAAGUUAAUACCUUUGCUCAUUGACGUUACCCGCAGAAGAAGCACCGGCUAACUCCGUGCCAGCAGCCGCGGUAAUACGGAGGGUGCAAGCGUUAAUCGGAAUUACUGGGCGUAAAGCGCACGCAGGCGGUUUGUUAAGUCAGAUGUGAAAUCCCCGGGCUCAACCUGGGAACUGCAUCUGAUACUGGCAAGCUUGAGUCUCGUAGAGGGGGGUAGAAUUCCAGGUGUAGCGGUGAAAUGCGUAGAGAUCUGGAGGAAUACCGGUGGCGAAGGCGGCCCCCUGGACGAAGACUGACGCUCAGGUGCGAAAGCGUGGGGAGCAAACAGGAUUAGAUACCCUGGUAGUCCACGCCGUAAACGAUGUCGACUUGGAGGUUGUGCCCUUGAGGCGUGGCUUCCGGAGCUAACGCGUUAAGUCGACCGCCUGGGGAGUACGGCCGCAAGGUUAAAACUCAAAUGAAUUGACGGGGGCCCGCACAAGCGGUGGAGCAUGUGGUUUAAUUCGAUGCAACGCGAAGAACCUUACCUGGUCUUGACAUCCACAGAACUUUCCAGAGAUGGAUUGGUGCCUUCGGGAACUGUGAGACAGGUGCUGCAUGGCUGUCGUCAGCUCGUGUUGUGAAAUGUUGGGUUAAGUCCCGCAACGAGCGCAACCCUUAUCCUUUGUUGCCAGCGGUCCGGCCGGGAACUCAAAGGAGACUGCCAGUGAUAAACUGGAGGAAGGUGGGGAUGACGUCAAGUCAUCAUGGCCCUUACGACCAGGGCUACACACGUGCUACAAUGGCGCAUACAAAGAGAAGCGACCUCGCGAGAGCAAGCGGACCUCAUAAAGUGCGUCGUAGUCCGGAUUGGAGUCUGCAACUCGACUCCAUGAAGUCGGAAUCGCUAGUAAUCGUGGAUCAGAAUGCCACGGUGAAUACGUUCCCGGGCCUUGUACACACCGCCCGUCACACCAUGGGAGUGGGUUGCAAAAGAAGUAGGUAGCUUAACCUUCGGGAGGGCGCUUACCACUUUGUGAUUCAUGACUGGGGUGAAGUCGUAACAAGGUAACCGUAGGGGAACCUGCGGUUGGAUCACCUCCUUA